Molecule: long non-coding RNA, 1217 nt
Filed under: Marmota monax (woodchuck)
Lineage: Eukaryota; Metazoa; Chordata; Mammalia; Rodentia; Sciuridae
Source: RNAcentral
GGCACUUCUGUGGAAAUAAGAUGCAUUUCCAUUUCACUGAAAUCAUGAUAUUGCAAAAUCAGCAGGAGUAGUUACAAGCCAAGAAUAGCUCCCCAUCCAAGGAAGGAAGGACUACGAGGCAAAAUGAAGGUUCAUUUGCCAAACUCACUGAGACUCAGUCAAGAAAAAAAAAAUCAAAAGGAGCACCUCAAGGCCCACAACGAGAAGAUAACAAAAGUCUCCAGCAUCAUUUGAAACUCCACAAUUAGUGCAAGCUAUGAGGUUCCAACAGGGCCAUGGGGGGAAGGGUGUGCUCAGUUCACUUUCACCAUUGCAGCUAGAGAACUCUGGUCAUCAGCCCCUGGGACUUAGAAGACAGUUUAAUGCAGGUCCACCUCUAAUGGAUCAUUUCUCUUUUUUCCAGUCAUUCAUUUGUUUAUUCAUUUAACAAAUACAAAUAUUUUUAAGGAUUUUCUGUAUUUCUGGAAAUAUGCUAAGGGCUACAAAGGUGACCAAGUCCAAUACCAUCUUUGUCUGCAGGGAUCAUGUGCCUUUAGGAUUUGGGAAAUUGCAUGGCUCCAAACUUCAGCUCCAUCAGGCAUCCAGCAGCAGCAGGGACACCUUCCUAGGUCUCUCAGUGUUGCCAAGAGCUGGUUCACAGGAGAUGACUGAGGGAAACUGCUCUGGAAAAGCUCUUUUGCAGGUCUAUAAAAGUGAAAAGUAUUGGAACUAUUGCUCUAGCUGUGAGAACAAUGGGCUAAGUCACCAGGGAGCUGACUUAGACCUCCUUCUCUUUGUUCCUUCACUUCCCCCUCCCCUUACUCAGCCUCCAAACAGAGACUUAGUCCAAAGAGAGCCAUUCCAGGUUGAUGAUAAAGGGACAAUGGGGUUUUGGGGUGGUCCUCUGGGUCCCCAGGCAGGAGGCCUCCAUUCCAGCAUGCCAAACAAACCAGGUUCUUUUGGAGCAAGUCAACAGCUGAACUAGAGGCUAUGAACAAAGAACUUGGCCAGUUUCUAUGUCCUUGCAGUGGAUAUGCACAGUUAACCACACCAGUGUCUACUCCUGUCCCAGUUUUAGGGAAACCAGAAAUCAAGAAUCUCACUCCCAGAAAACUACAGGUAGUUGGAGGAGAUUGGUUUCUGUCUGUGGUAUUUUCUGGCUGAUGGUGUAAUACCAUAUAGGCCCAUGGGCCCAAGUGUUGGCAUUACCUAGGUAAUUUGUCAAAACAUAGAUGCUC